AAUGAUGAGCCUGAGUUUAAAGGACUAUCGUGAUAGGAUAAAAUAUGUAGUUAAACCUACCUUCAUUA
RNAcentral lists this transfer RNA (68 nucleotides) under Astalotermes murcus. RNAcentral's name for it is "tRNA-Ile". The record is from RNAcentral. Lineage: Eukaryota; Metazoa; Arthropoda; Insecta; Blattodea; Termitidae.